UACGGAGGGUGCGAGCGUUGUCCGGAAUCACUGGGCGUAAAGGGCGCGUAGGCGGCCUGAUAAGUAGGGGGUGAAAUCCUGCGGCUUAACCGCAGGGCUGCCUUCUAAACUGUCAGGCUAGAGCACAGUAGAGGCAGGUGGAAUUCCCGGUGUAGCGGUGGAAUGCGUAGAGAUCGGGAGGAAUACCUAUGGCGAAAGCAGGCUUCUGGGCCGUCACUGACGCUGAUCUGCGAAAGCUAGGGGAGCAAACAGG
This 253-nucleotide ribosomal RNA is filed under the name uncultured bacterium. RNAcentral's name for it is "partial 16S ribosomal RNA". It matches the Rfam family "Bacterial small subunit ribosomal RNA", at positions 524 to 776 of the family's 1533-position model. The record is from RNAcentral.